Molecule: ribosomal RNA, 498 nt
Filed under: uncultured Ferrovaceae bacterium
Lineage: Bacteria; Pseudomonadati; Pseudomonadota; Betaproteobacteria; Ferrovales; Ferrovaceae
Description: bacterial SSU rRNA
Rfam family: Bacterial small subunit ribosomal RNA
Source: RNAcentral
UGGCUCAGAUUGAACGCUGGCGGAAUGCUUUACACAUGCAAGUCGAGCGGCAGCGCGGGGCAACCUGGCGGCGAGCGGCGAACGGGUGAGUAACAUAUCGGAACGUAUCCUUGAGUGGGGGACAACUAGUCGAAAGACUAGCUAAUACCGCAUACGCUCGAGAGAGGAAAGUGGGGGACCGCAAGGCCUCACGCUGAAGGAGCGGCCGAUAUCAGAUUAGCUAGAUGGUGAGGUAAAGGCUUACCAUGGCGACGAUCUGUAGCUGGUCUGAGAGGAUGAUCAGCCACACUGGGACUGAGACACGGCCCAGACUCCUACGGGAGGCAGCAGUGGGGAAUUUUGGACAAUGGGGGCAACCCUGAUCCAGCCAUUCCGCGUGAGUGAAGAAGGCCUUCGGGUUGUAAAGCUCUUUUGUUCGGGACGAAACGGUUAAGGCUAAUAACCUUGACUAAUGACGGUACCGGAAGAAUAAGCACCGGCUACUACUUCAGACACCCC